This is a long non-coding RNA of Physcomitrium patens, 1274 nucleotides long. RefSeq lists it as uncharacterized. The record is from RefSeq and is a predicted model, not a curated record. Lineage: Eukaryota; Viridiplantae; Streptophyta; Bryopsida; Funariales; Funariaceae.
UCCAAACGGGUGCAGUUUAGGGGGAUAUCAACCACGGGAGAAUCCCAUCGUCCGGGUAUCGAGCAGGCGGAGCUUGAGCCGGGUGUGACAAAAGCCUCGGCCUUCGCAACGGGGCAGCUGAGAAAGUCAGCAGUGUCGUUCGAGCGGCUGGAGCUGAUGAUAUUCUACAGCUCCGGAUCCUUUGUUGUUCGACUGGAAGAGUACUGUUGUUGUUGUGCUAUGGAACCAGUGCUCAAGGAUGGUUGGAGCUCCGAGGGUGUAGUGCGGUAGUUUUUUUCUGGAUUGUGGCACGGAGGUCGAGGCUGAGUGGUUUCUAGCAACGGCAUUUCGAGGUUCUCCCUCCCUAUUCCUGUUUUGUUGGUUGAGUAGCGAGCUCCAGUCAUUUCCUGGUUAGACCCUGUGGUGGUGAGCUGCUGGAGCGUCCGUCAUCAAAGAUGCCUUGUCCCCCUUCUCUUCCGUUGCAUUACGGCGGCAAGGUUGAACAUUGGAUAGGAAUCGGAUUGCUGUGGUCAACGUCCCUGAAGCUUCACUUAGAGAAGUUAUGGCUGCAUCGGUGGUGGCGGAUCUGGAGCUUGGCUCUCCUAGCACCUUGCGUUUUGCUCGUGGGAGCCACCUGCUCCUAGCUCUCUUAAUUGGCUGUCUCCACCUCCACCGUUACCUUGAACAACGUCUGGUUCUGAUUUGAUGCGGUUGGAGUGAAGUGGAGCAUCGACAAGUUGUGUUCCCUCAUUCCUUUAAGCAACUAGUCGUGAUCCGGUGCUUCUACAACAAGACUCAUUCGACUGCUGUGGGGUUGUGGCUACAAAGUUCAGCCGAAACACUAGAACGAUGGAUCGACAUCAGCAUUGUCAAAUUCGUGUGGACAACCCUAGUAUUUAGAUCUUGGUAUCGUAAUCAGCAACCUAAUUGACUUAGCCAAGUAGCCAGGAUAGCGGAAUUUAGUAGUUGGAACGUAGAGUUAAUUUGAAUUGUGUAAGGAAGCAGUGACUUCCAGUGGCAGUGCUCUACGUGAAUGGAAAGAGUGGACAACUGAGGGACAACAACGGUGAAGGCGUUGGCGUCGUGGGAGGGAUUCCCAGGAAGCAAUUGGACUCAGUCGCAAACAUCGUUGAGUGCGAUAGCGGCGUGAAGAUAUGAGCUGGACAACACCUCAAGCUCACCUUUUAGCAUCCAGAAGGUGAUAGCCUUGUAUGGGAUGGAGUUCUUAGAUUUGAAUAAACCCAGAAUAUGAUGAAAUUUAAACAUAAUUGACGUUUACAAUGGAUGAUAACUGA